Molecule: ribosomal RNA, 654 nt
Filed under: uncultured bacterium
Lineage: Bacteria
Description: bacterial SSU rRNA
Rfam family: Bacterial small subunit ribosomal RNA
Source: RNAcentral
CCNGUGGCGAAAGCGGCUCUCUGGUCUGUCACUGACGCUGAGGCUCGAAAGCGUGGGUAGCGAACAGGAUUAGAUACCCUGGUAGUNCACGCCGUAAACGAUGAGUGCUAGGUGUUAGGCCCUUUCCGGGGCUUAGUGCCGGAGCUAACGCAAUAAGCACUCCGCCUGGGGAGUACGACCGCAAGGUUGAAACUCAAAGGAAUUGACGGGGGCCCGCACAAGCGGUGGAGCAUGUGGUUUAAUUCGAAGCAACGCGAAGAACCUUACCAGGUCUUGACAUCCCGAUGCUAUUCUUAGAGAUAGGAAGUUACUUCGGUACAUCGGAGACAGGUGGUGCAUGGUUGUCGUCAGCUCGUGUCGUGAGAUGUUGGGUUAAGUCCCGCAACGAGCGCAACCCUUAUUGUUAGUUGCCAUCAUUAAGUUGGGCACUCUAGCGAGACUGCCGGUAAUAAACCGGAGGAAGGUGGGGAUGACGUCAAAUCAUCAUGCCCCUUAUGACCUGGGCUACACACGUGCUACAAUGGUCGGUACAACGAGUUGCGAGCCGGUGACGGCAAGCUAAUCUCUGAAAGCCGAUCUCAGUUCGGAUUGGAGGCUGCAACUCGCCUCCAUGAAGUCGGAAUCGCUAGUAAUCGCGGAUCAGCACGCCGCGGU